Molecule: ribosomal RNA, 393 nt
Filed under: uncultured bacterium
Lineage: Bacteria
Description: bacterial SSU rRNA
Rfam family: Bacterial small subunit ribosomal RNA
Source: RNAcentral
AGUGAACGCUGGCGGCAGGCCUAACACAUGCAAGUCGAACGGCAGCGCAGCAGUAGCAAUACUGUGGGCGGCGAGUGGCGGACGGGUGAGGAAUACAUCGGAAUCUACCUUGUCGUGGGGGGAUAACGUAGGGAAACUUACGCUAAUACCGCAUACGAACUAUGGUUGAAAGCGGCGGACCGCAAGGCGUCGCGCGAUUGGAUGAGCCGAUGUCCGAUUAGCUAGUUGGCGGGGUAAAGGCCCACCAAGGCGACGAUCGGUAGCUGGUCUGAGAGGAUGAUCAGCCACACUGGAACUGAGACACGGUCCAGACUCCUACGGGAGGCAGCAGUGGGGAAUAUUGGACAAUGGGCGCAAGCCUGAUCCAGCCAUGCCGCGUGUGUGAAGAAGGCC